GAGAGAGAGAGAGAGAGAGAGAGAGAGAGAGAGAGAGAGAGAGAGAGAGAGAGAGCACUCUGGAGCAGCAGUUCCAGGAGUUAUGAACCAUUUGAUGUGGGUUCUGGGAACUAAACGUAUGCCCUCUUCAAGGACAGAGAGUACUCUUAAUUACUGGGCCAUCCAUCCAUCCAGCCCCCCAAAAUUUCUUUUUUGAGUCAAAAUCUCAGUAUGUAGCCCAGGCUUGCAUGAAACUCUCAGCAAUCCUCCUGCCUCAAUAUCCUGAGUGCUGAGAUUACAGGUAUGAACUACCAUACACAGCUAAAAGAAUAUGUUUAGACUUCUGACUUUUUUUCCUUUCUUUCUUUUUCCUGUGUUGGACAUUGAACCCAGCUCAGUUGGUUGGUUUGUUGGUUGGUUGGUUACUUUUUAUUUUGAGAAAUAGUCUUGUUAUGUUACCCAGGCUACCGUUACACUUGAAUUCUCCUUCCUCUGUCUCCUGAGUAACUGGAUUAUAAACCUAUGCCACAAAGCCCAGUUAAACUCUGGGCAUCUUAAAUCCUGACAGGAAAAUCAGGCCCAGCACCUUACCAAACACCUUCAUCUGGACCUGGAAGUGAAGGACAACUAACAUUGACAUGGGGACCCGUCACCUGAGCAUCUGCUUCUGGAAACAAGGAGAUGAUGGAUUUCCAUGCUCCAGGCUAUGAGGAAACUUCAAGGUCAUGUUAUCCAACAGGCUCUUGGUGCCUAGAACAGAAGACACUCUCCAUAAAGGAUGCUACCUUAUCAUUACAGGGUAGAGCCCUGUGUGGUGUUAUCUAAGGAACCCAGCCAGCUUCCCUCCCUCUGCCUCCACUGACCUGGCUGUUUCCUUUACUUCGUGGCAUUUCACUAUUAGCAGGUGCUCAGGGCCACCUAUCCUCAUCUUCCCAGUCUGUUCCACAGUGAACAGAAGCUGGAUAUGUCCCAGGGGCUGUCACCUUCCAGAACUGCUCUUCUGGCUGUACUGGGGCCUGGUGGUAGAGCUUGGGAUAUCAGUCCACCCCACACCCUUGUUCUGCACAUAGAAGUGACUAGGCUUGGGUCACACCGGGGGACAGAGGCUUUGGAUGCAUCCCCCUGGGUGCCACUGAACUUCUUAACCCUGAGAUGGCAGGGUCUUGGAGGAGGUGGUGGGGUACUGGCAGGAAAGGUCUGGAAACUAACUUGCAGGUGAGAAGCAGGAGAUGGAAAACACACUUAGACAUGAAACCACCAGCCAGGAUUGGAAUUUGUCCAAUUUUGCCUCUACCCCACUGCUGGGCUCAUGUUCAGAGAGUUUGCUCAGGACUGAGUAUGUGAAGAGGCUGAAUUAGCUAAGAUAAGAGGCUACGCCUCGGAGGGCCGCGGCAACUGUGUGCCUGGCCAGGGCCUGGGGGACAGAGCUCAAUGGCCCACGGGAUGGACACAGGGGAAGGAACCUGGGGACACCUGAGUGAGAGCUUGUGACCCAGGUUCUUCUCCAAGAGUUGGGGACACAAGGUUCUCUCUUCCCAGAUGGAAGGCCUGAGAAGGGGUGUUUCUGGGGAUUCACAGCUGCUCUCCUACCCAACCUCUACACUCACCUCCCAGUUCUGAGAGAGGAGCAGCCAUGGGCCUGGCAGCUAUCCCAGUGCCACAGGAGCCCCUGGCGCCACACACUGGUUCUGGAACAUAAAGAUAUCCUCCUGUACUUCUGACCUCCCCGUCUGUGGAGACAGGGAGGAGUUGGUAAACAGCACCCAGAGAUCUCUAUGAACAGUAUCUUUGCUUCUUGUAUCUGAACCUCUGCUUAUCUCUAUUCUGACUCAUAUGUAUGUAAACAACAUUACAAGAGAAAGUAAAAGAUUCCAAUAAACCACAACAUCUCUACUCAUCA
Long non-coding RNA from Mesocricetus auratus (golden hamster), 1879 nucleotides. RefSeq lists it as uncharacterized. The transcript is spliced from 2 exons. Lineage: Eukaryota; Metazoa; Chordata; Mammalia; Rodentia; Cricetidae. The record is from RefSeq and is a predicted model, not a curated record.